RNAcentral lists this unclassified non-coding RNA (271 nucleotides) under uncultured fungus. RNAcentral describes it as "partial contains small subunit ribosomal RNA, internal transcribed spacer 1, and 5.8S ribosomal RNA". The stretch from base 1 to 73 matches the Rfam family "Eukaryotic small subunit ribosomal RNA", at positions 1759 to 1831 of the family's 1831-position model. Lineage: Eukaryota; Fungi. The record is from RNAcentral.
GCAAACUUGGUCAUUUAGAGGAAGUAAAAGUCGUAACAAGGUUUCCGUAGGUGAACCUGCGGAAGGAUCAUUAACAAACAUCCACACACACACACACACCCGUGCUAUUACCGAACCGUUUUGCGCGUGCUGCUUCGCGGCGCACGCGCCAGCAUUCAUAAACCACACACACACCCAUUCUUAUUCUUACCAGUUUAACGACAACAGUAUUUAAACAAACACAACUUUCAACAAUGGAUCUCUAGGCUCCUACAUCGAUGAAGAACGCAGC